GAGGCAGCUCAGGUGCUCCCAGUUAUAAAUUUGGUAGAGCUCCUCCUGGGGAGCCCCAGCUCCCUCCUGAUGGCGUUGCAGUUUGUGCCAGGAGGGUUGGAAGAAGGAGCAAGCAGAGCAGAGGUUGGAGAGGGCCGUGUCAUGCGCAGGGUACAGAAGACCAGUGACACAGGCUCCACGUGCUCACUGGGAGGAGGCUGGAGGCAGGCGAGGAAAAUCGGCUCUUGCUCAGUUGAAGUCAAGUGGAAACGACCCUGGAAAUCAGCAUCCUGCACAGCAGCCUCUGCAACAAACGCAGCAAAGCCGAAGGCUGCCUCGCUCCGGUCCCGCUUAGGCAAUUCCGUGGGAAGGUAACGGCACUGACUCCAGCGGAACGGCUCCCGAUUUAUGGCUGGCAGUGGCACUCGGCCCGUGGUGAAGACUGGCAUGUUUUAUACUCCCUCCACAUUGCUUCUAUUAAUCUGUUUAAUAUGCUGGCGGCGGCGAUGACAGCAGAGGCAAUAAAACCCGCGCGUGGCCGCUGUUUGUGCUCAGUUCAUUUAGGUGACCUGUCUUUAGUUCCUUGCUCUGCUCGCUGUAAUUGCUUCUUCAGAGUGAUGCUGCACUGUGAGCGCCGUACGGCAGCCCGGGUAUGUUUUUAUGGAAGGAUGAAGGAAGGCGAGGUUGAAGUCAUCAACCAAUAUUAACUGUGGAAGGUUUGUCACAAAUGACAUCUCAAUAGCGGUGUGUCUCUGCCUGCUGCUGGAGCCUCAGUAAAACAGUGCUGAGGACGAGGGCAGGACUGCGGGACAGCUUUGUCUCUCCAGCCUGCUUAAUAUUUUGCUUAGGAGCUGGAAACGCUGUGGAACAUUAUUUUACCUUGGGCACAGACAUCAUUUGUGUUCUCUGUACCUUUGGGAAAAAUUUAAAUACGUGGAUGUUUGCGUGAGGUUUUGCCAGGGACCUGUUUUUGUUCAGCACUAACAUCUGGGGGGAAGGAACUUUUUCCGGGAGAGACCAAUAGGGUGGGUGCUGAGCUUACGGUUACGUGGCAAGUUUAAUUAUGGAGGGAGCAAUGGUUGCUCCAAUGCAGCCUCACCUGCGGCAAAUCAAUGCAUGAGGUCUAACCCAAGUGUCUAUACAUGGGGAAGCUCUAGGUUUCUUUGGCAGGCUCCAGACAUGCAGCCUUUACUGACGGCAGCAGCCCCAGUCCAGCAGAGCCUGGGGAGAUGAAGCAAGGCUGGGAUUUUUGCCCAUAUGCCUGAGCUCUGAAGCGGGCAGGGAGUCCUGAGACCCCCCCCAGUGCACCAGGAGCUUUCUGCUCACGGUUGUUUUGAGCUGAGGGGUCAGCAGCGUGGAGUUGGUCCUGAGCCUGGAAAUCAUCCUGGUGAGAGCAGGGUCCAGAGCCCACGGGUGACCUGGGUGCGGGAGGGCAGCCGUGCUCGGGGCCUCUGCAGAGUCUGUGCGACAGAGCCCAUCUCGAUGUGCACUUAUGAGGGAGAUGAUUAAUCUAUUUGUUUUGCAUUGCUGCUAUUAUUAUUUUGCGCAUAAGCCUGAAUUAUGUAAGAACUUUCCUGCAGAAAUUGGGUUUGCGGGCUGCAAGCACAAAAAGAAGAAAAUUCUUUCUCUAAAA
This is a long non-coding RNA of Oxyura jamaicensis (ruddy duck), 1612 nucleotides long. RefSeq lists it as uncharacterized. The record is from RefSeq and is a predicted model, not a curated record. NCBI's taxonomy places the organism in Eukaryota, Metazoa, Chordata, Aves, Anseriformes, Anatidae. The transcript is spliced from 5 exons.